GCUGGGCAUGGUGGUGGUAGCCUGUAAUCCCAGCUACUAGGGAGGCUGAGGCAUAGGAUUGUGUUUGAGACCAGGCCAGGCCAUCCUUGACAAAAAUAGUGAAAAUCUGUCUCAA
This 115-nucleotide small RNA is filed under the name Marmota monax (woodchuck). Lineage: Eukaryota; Metazoa; Chordata; Mammalia; Rodentia; Sciuridae. The record is from RNAcentral.